GUUUGAUCCUGGCUCAGAAUCAACGCUGGCGGCGUGCCUAACACAUGCAAGUCGAACGAGAAAGUGGAGCAAUCCAUGAGUAAGGUGGCGACCGGGUGAGUAACACGUGACUAACCUACCUCCGAGUGGGGGAUAACUCCGGGAAACCGGGGCUAAUACCGCAUAACAUCGUGAGAUCAAAGCAGCAAUGCGCUUGGAGAGGGGGUCGCGGCUGAUUAGCUAGUUGGCGGGGUAACGGCCCACCAAGGCGAAGAUCGGUAUCCGGCCUGAGAGGGCGCACGGACACACUGGAACUGAAACACGGUCCAGACUCCUACGGGAGGCAGCAGUGGGGAAUUUUGCGCAAUGGGGGAAACCCUGACGCAGCAACGCCGCGUGGAGGAUGAAGCCCCUUGGGGCGUAAA
Molecule: ribosomal RNA, 404 nt
Filed under: uncultured bacterium
Lineage: Bacteria
Description: bacterial SSU rRNA
Rfam family: Bacterial small subunit ribosomal RNA
Source: RNAcentral